UCCAGGAUAAUCUUACCUUCGAAGGGCAAGUAUUAUAGCUUCUAGCUUCUAUUUCAGUGUACUCAAAAUGUGUGAAGUAUUGACUUUCCUUAUUUUCCCUGUUUUCACCUGAUGAAAGCAAAUAAUAUCUGGUGAUGUAGCUAUUUAGGAAUGGGUCUGCGUAUGACCAUCAUCUGUUUGCUUCUUCUCUGAUUGAGAGACUAAAGAGAAAUGCAGCCUCAUUGCUUCUCUAGAUCCUCUGGCUACUGACCAACAGCAGGAGGUGUAUUGGCAACUUCAGAAGGAAUUAGGCCAAAAUCUGCUCUCAGUUAUGUGACUGCCACUCCCUGUGUUGGCCCACUGCCUACUCCGCUAUUGGUCACAAUAUUAAAAAAACAAGAGGGGAAACUAGGGAGAGGGAAGGAUUGGUUAACCCACAACUCUUUAACCAUGUAACUGGCAGUCUUUAAGAUGUGUUUUGAUAUCUUCUUAAAAGAGAUGCUCUAGCUCAAACUGAAAUUAUGGGCUUGAUGCAAAAAUUACUGACUGGGCUCUGUGGCCUGUGUUAUGUAGCAGACUAGGUGAUCGUAAUGGUGCUGCUGGCCUUAAAAAUCUAUGAAAACAGGUACCUGGCGACUUGCAAAGACAUGCUGGUGAAUAGACACAUAGUGGCUGAGUACUUACUGACUUACCUGUAGGUUGGUACUGACAUAUGGGUUAAGUGAGUCAGGGAGAGUAGUGGGAGCUCAGCAUUUCUGAAUAUCAGACCCGUAGACAUGAAACCAUUUCCUGAAUGGGUUAGGAUCAGGCAGAAGUCCUGGGUGGUACCCCCCCUUUGAUACUCAGCUAACAUCUUUUUCAUGGAGUUACCCAGGAAGGGAUGCCGAGCUCAUGCUCAGAGAUGGACUCUAGAACUGGGCAGUAGCUGCAGCUGGACUCUGGGACAAGACAGAGCAAUCCAGUAAGGCAACAGCAUCUCAACAGAAAGGCUGCUUGUUCCAGCUUGCCAGAGAUGGUCAAUGUCCUGUCAGAGAAAGGUGCCAACCCAAGCACAUCCCAAGACCAAACCUGAGGAUCGGCUCAGCCAGUGUGUUCUGAACUCCCCAGAGUACGUGAAUACAGGAAGCAGUUAACAGUGCUGUGCAUCGCCACAAACUUCUGAUUUGCAACUGGAGCUGUUUUUUGUAAGAACACAAUCAUGCACUUUGCAACAAACAAGAGGACAGCUAGCCAAGAUGAGGCAAUCAAACCAGUGUUUCAGCCGCUCACCUUUGGCGUUAAUUCCUAACACUACUCCACCUUAGCACAGAGAGAGAGAGAGAGAGAGAGAGAGUCAGUCAGUUCAUUCCACAGAGGUAAGCCAAGCUGUGCCAGUAAAGACAGACAGAGAAGUCUGUAAAAGCAGCAAAGAGUCCUGUGGCACUGUAUAGACUAACAGACGUAUUGGAGCAUGAGCUUUCGUGGGAUGCAUGCAGAGAAGUCUGUUACUGACACUUGUUCAGCUAUCUAGCGAGAUGUAUGCAGUGUGACAUUGCAAAGCUUUCCAUGCUCCUUGGUAGCUAUUGGAAACAGCUGUUUAGAGGGGCAAGUGACAAGGGAGUCCUCACUCUCUUACACAGGUACAUUUUCUUCCUUUUAGCAUGGGUGGGUGGCGGCUACUAGUGAGCACGAUCACUGGGUAGAUGAAAGCUUCCUGGCUAGAUUAUCCCGGCCCCACUCACUUAGAGCUGGGCAUGGAGGAAGGAGUACAUCUUUCCAGCACUGCUAACAGGUGUGGCUCUGUCCCAUGCUGCCUUUAUGGUGCUGCCCCCCUCCUCUGAGUGUAAUACUCUUGACAAUGUGUAAUUACAAGUGAAUUUGUUGCCCUCUUGAUUUAACAGAUCCCUUAGUGUGUGGGGAGGGAUGGGGCUAGGAUCUGGCCAAGAAAAGGAAAGUCAGUUAAAUCACAUGCCAAAGUAUUCUAUGCUCAGAGGAGCAAACAUGGAAGCUGGAACAGCCUAUCCUUUUUUAAGGAUGGCCCAGAGUGGGACUGUAAAUGCCCCUCUGAUUCCAAAGGCAUAAGGAGGUAAUGAACUCUCCUGGCCCGUAAAUCAUUAAGGCCACAAACAAAAUGACCCCUAAAUACUGCAAAGGUGCUUUGAAGCCUUUGCAUUCGACAAAGACAUAUUAAGCCUCCACUUUCACUAGUCUCUGGCUUUCAGAAGAAAACGCUUUGAAAAUCAAGGUGGAGUGAGACAGGCUCGUCCUACAGGAGAGUGGGAAGCCAGAGCUGAGUGUACCUGAAUGCGUAGUGCGUGGGAAUUACACCCGCCUGCCACACAAGUUCACUGGGGCAUUUUUAACCUAGUCCCAUUUCAAAGCAAGGUAGCAAAGUGCACAACAGAAUUUGUGUGCGUGGCAGCAGGGUCCAUGUGGGCAGGCUAGUGCGUGCUAGAUUUCUACCUCCGCUUGCCGCAAGCUAAGUGGUCAUAUAGACAAGCUCUUAGUUGAUUAAUGUGAAAGGGCACAUGCCCAAAGCAGCUUUAAACUUACUUCAAGUGUAUCUUACUUACCAAUAAAAUCAUUUGAUUUUCCAAUAUCAUAAUCCCACACAGUGACUUCUAAGGUCUUCUUUGCCAGGUCACCAUGCUUUAUUUCAUAACAAAAUUCCUGUUGGGGAGAAGAAACCGAAUUCAGGAGGCAGCAUGUCAUCCCCAAAACUCUAGCUAUGCUAAUGCUAGCACAGUGCAGUGUGGUUUUAUAGAGCAUCCUCAGUGCAAGGAUCAAAAUGUUUCACAGAAAAUGCUUGUAAGCUACAGCAACAAGGAAGAUUUGAAGGUGCUAUUGAAUAGGACUGACUGAGUGGCUUGCAGAGCAUGUCAGCUGGGUGGAACAGAGGAGCAGUUGGCUCUGAGGAGCUAGUGCAGAAAGACUUACUGGGAUCACUGCAUAUGCCCCUUGCUGUCAUUUGUUUUCUGGGCCAGGGAAAUUCUCAUUUAACAAUGACGAAACAUAUGCAAAGGGAGGUGAAUCAUGAGCCAAUGCUUAUGCUCUGUGUAGCAGGUGAUGGAGGAGGAGAGGGCUUUAAUUGUAUAUGAUUGACACCCUUUUCAGGUGGUCCUACCAUGGAGAGACCUAGCAAGUGGUGUACAGCAAGGUUUCUUUUUCGCCUGUAUUAACAGAAGUAGGUGAAUGAGGCAGGAUUUCCCAGUGGUUAGUGCACAAGCCUGGAACUUGGAAGACUGGAGCUCAAUUCCCUGCUCUACUAUUGCCUUCCUGCAUGAUCGUGGACAAGUCCCUUAAGCCCUGACCUGCUGUUAGACACCUAAAUAACACUGAGGCUCUGGGCCUCAGUUUCCAGGAUGUAAAAUGAAGAUUAGUAGCACAUCUCUACCUCACAGAAGUGAGGAGGAUCAGUCCCUUAAAGGUGGUCAGGUGUUUGGAUGUGAUGGAGGUGAGGCCAUAGAAGUACCAAAGCAGAUAAAGCAAAAGCCGUGCACCCGGCUGCACUAGCAUGAGCCAGGCUAGAUAACCACCCAGCUCAUGUGAAAAUUACAACUGCACAAACCAGACUUGUGUCCACUUCCAUAACUGAGAUGGGGAUAAGGUGCCUCUACACCUGACCCACUGGGGGCAGGGGGGCAGAUGCAAAGAUCCCAGCCAGGAGUGCUAGAGGAAGGGUGUUUCUUCACUGCUCAGCUUGCAAUAGAAGUAUUUAGAAAGGCAAGCAGAGACAGAAUAUGAUUGGAUGUCCCGCAGCAGGGGAAAUUGAUGCGAUUUAUAGGCCUAUCGUCUUGAUGUAUGAGGUGCUCAUCAAAGAGAGCAGCAUUUUAGCAGCUAUCAAAUACAGUGUGGUGCAAAAGUACCUCAUUGAAUUCAGGGUUUAGUGUUUUCUUUUUCACUGCUGUCUUGUGCUUUGAUUUCUUGUCCUCAUCUGGUUUCAAGUAGCUGUAAUUAUAAUAAAGAACUUGGUCAGAACACAGCACCAUCUAGCUGACCGUCAGCAUUUCUUUUUUACAAGUUUGACCUAACUUGUUCCCGCAGUCAGUGGAGUUGUAUUCCCAGCUCUGCCGGUGACUCGCUCUGCGACCACAGGUGAACUACUGGCCUGCCUUGAGCUAGGGCUUCCUAUUUUGUAAGCCGGAGGGUCUUAUUUCUUACUUACCCUGGUUAAAGUUCUUUGAGUGAAAAUCACUGUAGCAGUGGAAAGUAGCAUAUUGGCCUCUGGCAUUAAAAAGAGGCACUGCUUGAACUCACGCUGAGCAGCUGUUCAUAACCCCAUGACCCAAGCCCGACCCCAGAUGUACAGUA
This is a long non-coding RNA of Mauremys mutica (yellowpond turtle), 4269 nucleotides long. RefSeq lists it as uncharacterized. The transcript is spliced from 6 exons. NCBI's taxonomy places the organism in Eukaryota, Metazoa, Chordata, Testudines, Geoemydidae. The record is from RefSeq and is a predicted model, not a curated record.